RNAcentral lists this unclassified non-coding RNA (377 nucleotides) under uncultured Bryobacterales bacterium. RNAcentral describes it as "contains 16S-23S intergenic spacer region". The record is from RNAcentral. Lineage: Bacteria; Pseudomonadati; Acidobacteriota; Terriglobia; Bryobacterales.
UCCAACUUAUCGCUGGCGGUCUCCUGCGAGUUCCCAACUGAAUGAUGGCAACACAGGACAAGGGUUGCGCUCGUUGCGGGACUUAACCCAACAUCUCACGACACGAGCUGACGACAGCCAUGCAGCACCUCGACUGGACCCCCUUGCGGGGUAGCGCUGUUUCCAACGCCGUUGACCAGCCGUUCGAGCCCAGGUAAGGUUCUUCGCGUUGCGUCGAAUUGAACCACAUGCUCCACCGCUUGUGCGGGCCCCCGUCAAUUCCUUUGAGUUUCAGCCUUGCGACUGUACUCCCCAGGCGGCAUAUUUAACGCGUUAGCUCCGGCACGGACAGAAUGAACUGCCCACACCAAAUAUGCAUCGUUUAGGGCGUGGACUAC